RNAcentral lists this ribosomal RNA (253 nucleotides) under uncultured bacterium. Its description in RNAcentral is "partial 16S ribosomal RNA". It matches the Rfam family "Bacterial small subunit ribosomal RNA", at positions 524 to 776 of the family's 1533-position model. The record is from RNAcentral.
UACGGAGGGUGCUAGCGUUGUUCGGAAUCACUGGGCGUAAAGCGCGUGUAGGCGGCCUGUUAAGUCUGAUGUGAAAGCCCGGGGCUCACCCCCGGAAGUGCAUUGGAAACUGCCAGGCUCGAGUCCCGGAGAGGAGGGUGGAAUUCCUGGUGUAGCGGUGAAAUGCGUAGAUAUCAGGAGGAACACCUAUAGCGAAGGCAGCUUGCUGGGACGGUACUGACGCUAAGGCGCGAAAGCGUGGGGAGCGAACAGG